RNAcentral lists this transfer RNA (67 nucleotides) under Lanceolaria gladiola. Its description in RNAcentral is "tRNA-His". It matches the Rfam family "tRNA". From Rfam's summary of the family: Transfer RNA (tRNA) molecules are approximately 80 nucleotides in length. Their secondary structure includes four short double-helical elements and three loops (D, anti-codon, and T loops). Lineage: Eukaryota; Metazoa; Mollusca; Bivalvia; Unionida; Unionidae. The record is from RNAcentral.
GUAGUAAGUAGUUUAAGGAAAACAGUAGAUUGUGGUUCUAUAGAUGGGGUAUGUUGCUCUUACUAGU